CGCUCUUUGAAUAAUAUUUAUAAAGAGUCGAGCCUGCCCAGUGAAUAGUAUUUAACGGCCGCAGUACCCUGACUGUGCAAAGGUAGCAUAAUCAUUUGCCCUAUAAUUGAGGGCUAGUAUGAAUGGUUUGACAAGAGCAAAGCUGUCUCUAUAAAAGUUAAUAGAAUUUGUUGUUUAGGUGCAGAAGCCUAAAUAGAAUUGAAAGACAAGAAGACCCUAUCGAGCUUGAAAUAAAUUAUAUAAAUAAUGUGUUAAAAUCAAAUUUAUAUAUUAAUUUUUGGUUGGGGCGACUAAGGAACAACUAAAGCUUCUUUUGUUUUAUAAUACAUUUAGGUUAUGAUCCAAUAGAUUGAUUAAAAGAAAUAGUUACCGUAGGGAUAACAGCAUAAUCUUUUUUGAGAGUUCUUAUCGAAAAAAAGGUUUGUGACCUCGAUGUUGGACUAGGAUUUCCAGAAAGGUGCAGAAGUCUUCAAUGGUUGGUCUGUUCGACCAUUAAAAUCCU
RNAcentral lists this ribosomal RNA (502 nucleotides) under Solenomphala taiwanensis. RNAcentral's name for it is "partial 16S ribosomal RNA". It matches the Rfam family "Bacterial large subunit ribosomal RNA", at positions 1819 to 2597 of the family's 2925-position model. The record is from RNAcentral. Lineage: Eukaryota; Metazoa; Mollusca; Gastropoda; Littorinimorpha; Assimineidae.